UUUUUAUUACAUUGGUUGCAAUAAAUUACAUUGAUUUCCCAGUUAGAUAAAACCGAUAAUUUCACAUGUGAAAUAAACGUGGUUAUUUCACUCUCUGACGUCAUACAACAAUAGGCGUUGUCAAGACGUCGAUAACGUCGGAUCAAAACAAAUUGUCAAUGCGUAGGAAAAAGAUAUAGUUCCUUACAUUUUCUACAUUAAUUUCAUAAAAAAAAAAAGCCAUUUGCCAAUGUAAUAAAAAGAAUAACUAAUCGCCGUAUUUGAAUAUCAAAAAUAAGACAACUUGUGACCGAACGCCGC
This 300-nucleotide long non-coding RNA is filed under the name Mytilus galloprovincialis (Mediterranean mussel). The record is from RNAcentral. Lineage: Eukaryota; Metazoa; Mollusca; Bivalvia; Mytilida; Mytilidae.